GAUGAACGCUAGCUACAGGCUUAACACAUGCAAGUCGAGGGGCAGCAUAGAAGUUAGCUUGCUAACUUCGGAUGGCGACCGGCGGAUGGGUGAGUAACACGUAUCCAACCUGGCCUUUACAAUGGGAUAGGCUUUCGAAAGAAAGAUUAAUACUGUAUGUUCCGUGAUCUCCGCAUGGAGAUUCCGGCAAAGAUUUAUCGGUAAAGGAUGGGGAUGCGUUCCAUUAGGCAGUAGGCGGGGUAACGGCCCACCUAACCGACGAUGGAUAGGGGUUCUGAGAGGAAGGUCCCCCACAUUGGAACUGAGACACGGUCCAAACUCCUACGGGAGGCAGCAGUGAGGAAUAUUGGUCAAUGGGCGAGAGCCUGAACCAGCCAAGUAGCGUGCAGGAAGACGGCCCUAUGGGUUGUAAACUGCUUUUGAAGGGGAAUAACAGAAUCUACGUGUAGAUUUUUGCAUGUACCUUUCGAAUAAGGAUCGGCUAACUCCGUG
RNAcentral lists this ribosomal RNA (492 nucleotides) under uncultured organism. Its description in RNAcentral is "bacterial SSU rRNA". It matches the Rfam family "Bacterial small subunit ribosomal RNA", at positions 28 to 507 of the family's 1533-position model. The record is from RNAcentral.